GGCGAGCGGCGGACGGGUGAGUAAUGCCUAGGAAUCUGCCUGGUAGUGGGGGAUAACGUUCGGAAACGAACGCUAAUACCGCAUACGUCCUACGGGAGAAAGCAGGGGACCUUCGGGCCUUGCGCUAUCAGAUGAGCCUAGGUCGGAUUAGCUAGUUGGUGAGGUAAUGGCUCACCAAGGCGACGAUCCGUAACUGGUCUGAGAGGAUGAUCAGUCACACUGGAACUGAGACACGGUCCAGACUCCUACGGGAGGCAGCAGUGGGGAAUAUUGGACAAUGGGCGAAAGCCUGAUCCAGCCAUGCCGCGUGUGUGAAGAAGGUCUUCGGAUUGUAAAGCACUUUAAGUUGGGAGGAAGGGCAGUUACCUAAUACGUAAUUGUUUUGACGUUACCGACAGAAUAAGCACCGGCUAACUCUGUGCCAGCAGCCGCGGUAAUACAGAGGGUGCAAGCGUUAAUCGGAAUUACUGGGCGUAAAGCGCGCGUAGGUGGUUCGUUAAGUUGGAUGUGAAAUCCCCGGGCUCAACCUGGGAACUGCAUUCAAAACUGUCGAGCUAGAGUAUGGUAGAGGGUGGUGGAAUUUCCUGUGUAGCGGUGAAAUGCGUAGAUAUAGGAAGGAACACCAGUGGCGAAGGCGACCACCUGGACUGAUACUGACACUGAG
Molecule: ribosomal RNA, 664 nt
Filed under: uncultured Pseudomonas sp.
Lineage: Bacteria; Pseudomonadati; Pseudomonadota; Gammaproteobacteria; Pseudomonadales; Pseudomonadaceae
Description: bacterial SSU rRNA
Rfam family: Bacterial small subunit ribosomal RNA
Source: RNAcentral